RNAcentral lists this ribosomal RNA (323 nucleotides) under uncultured eukaryote. Its description in RNAcentral is "partial 18S ribosomal RNA". It matches the Rfam family "Eukaryotic small subunit ribosomal RNA", at positions 1470 to 1796 of the family's 1831-position model. The record is from RNAcentral.
CCCUUAGAUGUCCGGGGCCGCACGCGCGCUACAAUGGAUGAAUCAACGCGUCAUCCUGGCCCGAAAGGGUUGGGGAACCGCUGAACCUCAUCCGUGGUUGGGAUUGGGGUUUGUAAUUAUUCCCCAUGAACUAGGAAUUCCCAGUAAACGCAAGUCAUCAGCUUGCAUUGAUUACGUCCCUGCCCUUUGUACACACCGCCCGUCGCACCUACCGAUUGAAUGAUUCGGUGAAGCUUUCGGACUACGACUUUGUUGGUUUAUUCUGACGCUGUUGUGGGAAGUUAUCUAAACCUCAUCAUUUAGAGGAAGGUGAAGUCGUAACA